GACGAACGCUGGCGGCGUGCUUAACACAUGCAAGUCGAACGGAAAGGCCCUGCUUUUGUGGGGUGCUCGAGUGGCGAACGGGUGAGUAACACGUGAGUAACCUGCCCUUGACUUUGGGAUAACUUCAGGAAACUGGGGCUAAUACCGGAUAGGAGCUCCUGCUGCAUGGUGGGGGUUGGAAAGUUUCGGCGGUUGGGGAUGGACUCGCGGCUUAUCAGCUUGUUGGUGGGGUAGUGGCUUACCAAGGCUUUGACGGGUAGCCGGCCUGAGAGGGUGACCGGCCACAUUGGGGCUGAGAUACGGCCCAAACUCCUACGGGAGGCAGCAGUGGGGAAUAUUGCACAAUGGGCGGAAGCCUGAUGCAGCAACGCCGCGUGCGGGAUGACGGCCUUCGGGUUGUAAACCGCUUUCGCCUGUGACGAAGCGUGAGUGACGGUAAUGGGUAAAGAAGCACCGGCUAACUACGUG
RNAcentral lists this ribosomal RNA (468 nucleotides) under uncultured bacterium. Its description in RNAcentral is "partial 16S ribosomal RNA". It matches the Rfam family "Bacterial small subunit ribosomal RNA", at positions 28 to 507 of the family's 1533-position model. The record is from RNAcentral.